CUACGGGGGGCUCCAGUGAGGAAUAUUGCACAAUGGGGGGAACCCUGAUGCAGCAACGCCGCGUGGAGGAUGACGCAUUUCGGUGUGUAAACUCCUUUUAUAUGUCAAGAAAAUGACGGUAGCAUAUGAAUAAGCACCGGCUAACUCCGUGCCAGCAGCCGCGGUAAUGCGGAGGGUGCAAGCGUUACUCGGAAUCACUGGGCGUAAAGGACGCGUAGGCGGGUUGGAAAGUCAGGUGUGAAAUCCUACAGCUUAACUGUAGAACUGCACUUGAAACUUCUAAUCUAGAGUAUGGGAGGGGGAGAUGGAAUUAGUGGUGUAGGGGUAAAAUCCGUAGAUAUCACUAGGAAUACCUAAAGCGAAGGCGAUCUCCUGGAACAUUACUGACGCUAAGGCGUGAAAGCGUGGGGAGCAAGCAGGAUUAGAUACCCCGGUAGUC
Molecule: ribosomal RNA, 439 nt
Filed under: uncultured bacterium
Lineage: Bacteria
Description: partial 16S ribosomal RNA
Rfam family: Bacterial small subunit ribosomal RNA
Source: RNAcentral